This 336-nucleotide long non-coding RNA is filed under the name Elaeis guineensis (African oil palm). RNAcentral describes it as "long non-coding RNA (EGUI_LNC007881)". The record is from RNAcentral. Lineage: Eukaryota; Viridiplantae; Streptophyta; Magnoliopsida; Arecales; Arecaceae.
CCUCUUUUACACUUUUUUGCAGAUGACUAUCUUUUGAUUGCUCGUGCCUCGAUCCGAAAUGCGAGGUAUUUUGCUUCUAUCGUUGAGACCUACUAUUGGAUUUUGGGAUAGCUAGUGAAUUUGUAGAAGUCCAUAGUUAUCUUUAGUCCCAAGAUGAAGGCCCAAGUGAAGCAGGCGAUUUGGAAGAGUCUGGAGAUCUAGAAGCAGGUGGGGCUCUGUCCUAUCUGGGGUUCCUCUUAUUGGUCAGCAUCUUCGGAGGCUGAUUGCAGGCCUAUGGUGCAACGGAUCCAAGAUCAUCUCAAGAGCUGGCAUGCCAACACUCUCUCUAUGAUGGGC